This 65-nucleotide transfer RNA is filed under the name Alpheus hoplocheles. Its description in RNAcentral is "tRNA-His". Lineage: Eukaryota; Metazoa; Arthropoda; Malacostraca; Decapoda; Alpheidae. The record is from RNAcentral.
AUUGAAGUAGUUUAUUAAAAAUGCCGAUUUGUGGUGUCGGAGAAGUAGUGGUUCUACCUUUGAUA